AGUCUUAUAGUCAAAUAGAUGACCCUAAAUUGCAAAUUUAGAAGUGGGAGGAACUAGCCCUAAGGCUU
Molecule: transfer RNA, 68 nt
Filed under: Staphylinidae sp. BMNH 1274240
Lineage: Eukaryota; Metazoa; Arthropoda; Insecta; Coleoptera; Staphylinidae
Description: tRNA-Cys
Source: RNAcentral